UACAGAGGUCCCAAGCGUUACUGAGAAUCACUGGGUUUAAAGGGUGCGUAGGUGGUCCGUUAAGUCAGUUGUGAAAUCCCCGGGCUCAACCCGGGAACUGCUUCUGAUACUGGCGGACUUGAGGCCAGUAGGGGUCACUAGAACUGACGGUGGAGCGGUGAAUGCGUAGAUAUCGUCAGGAAUGCCGGUGGUGAAGACGGGUGACUGGGCUGGUUCUGACACUGAGGCACGAAAGCGUGGGGAGCGAACGGGG
Molecule: ribosomal RNA, 253 nt
Filed under: uncultured bacterium
Lineage: Bacteria
Description: partial 16S ribosomal RNA
Rfam family: Bacterial small subunit ribosomal RNA
Source: RNAcentral